GGAGCCGUCAAACAGGCUUUGAUCCGGAGAUGUCCGAAUGGGGAAACCCACCCGCAAGGGUAUCCCACGCUGAAUACAUAGGCGUGUGGAGGCGAACCUGGUGAACUGAAACAUCUAAGUAGCCACAGGAAAGGAAAGCAAUAGCGACUCCGUGAGUAGCGGCGAGCGAAAGCGGAUGAACCAGCGGAGCGAGCGAACCGGUUGGAAUGCCGGGCCAAAGAAGGUGAAAGCCCUGUAACCGCGUGCUGGGGAUGCCCUCGAGUAGAUUCGGGCUCGUGGAACCCGGAUUGAAGAUGGGGAGUCCACUCUCCAAGGCUAAGCACUCCUUGACGACCGAUAGCGAAGAAGUAAGGCGACUGAAAGAUGAAAAGCACCCCGACGAGGGGAAUGAAAGAGUACCUGAAACCGUGUGCUUACAAGCGGUCGGAGCCCCGUAAGGGGUGACGGCGUGCCUUUUGCAUAAUGAGCCCGCGAGUUAGUCUGUACGGCGAGCCUAAGGCCUACCGGGCCGGAGGCGGAGCGAAAGCGAGUCUGAUAAGGGCGUCAAGUCGUACGGGCUAGACACGAAACCUUGUGAUCUACCGUUGGCCAGACUGAAGGACGGGUAACUCCGUCUGGAGGGUCGAACGCGUGAACGUUGAAAAGUUCUGCGAUGAGCUGACGGGAGGACUAAAAGUGUAAUCAAACUGGGAGAUAGCUUGUUCUUUCCGAAAUACCUUUAGGGGUAGCCUCGCGUGUGGUUUGUGGAGGUAGAGCUACUGGAUGGACUUAGGGGCCUACCCGGUCACCUGGUCCAACCAAACUCCGAAUGCCACAGACAUAAGCGCGGGAGAAAGACUUCGAGUGACAAUAUCCGAGGUCAAGAGGAGAAAAAUCCUGACCGCCAGCUAAGGCCCCGAAUCAAUGCUCAGUUCGUAAGGAAGUCAGACUGCUGAGACAUCCAGGAUGUUGGCUUAGAAGCAGCCAUCAUUUAAAGAGUGCGUAACAGCUCACUGGACGAGGAGUUUGGCGCCGAAAAUUAUCGGGAAUAAGCAUUGAGCCGAAGCUGCGGACUCGCAAGAGUGGUAGGAAAGCGUUGCUGGGGCGGAGAAGUGGUCCGGGAACGGUCCAUGGAGCGUCAGCAAGUGAACAUGCAGGCUUGAGUAACGAUAAAGCAGGUGAAAAUCCUGCUCGCCGUAAGCCUAAGGUUUCCUGGGGAAGGUAAAUCCGCCCAGGGUUAGCCGGGACCUAAGACGAGGCCGACAGGCGUAGUCGAUGGAAAUCAGGUCAAUAUUCCUGAGCCAAUGCCCAAUAAGGUGCGGACUUCUGGACUCUGCUGGAGGUGUCAGAUCACCAGGCCGUAAGGCCGUUGCAGAGAAAGGGAGUUCCUCGAAAAGCCGGGCGAGCCCGUACUAAAACUGACACAGGUAGGCGAGGCGAAUAGCCUCAGGCGCUCGAGAGAACGGUCGUGAAGGAACUAGGCAAGUUAACCCCGUAAGUUCGCGAUAAGGGGGCCCUACCCGUAAGGGAGGGCGCAGAGAAAAGGCUCUGGGAACUGUUUAUCAAAAACACAGCUCUGUGCGAAGACGCAAGUCGAUGUAUACAGAGUGACGCUUGCCCGAUACCGGAAUGUCAAGAGAGCGGGUCAGAGCAAUCGAAGCUCGCGAUCUAAGCACCGGUGAAUGGCGGCCGUAACUAUGACGGUCCUAAGGUAGCGAAGUUCCUUGUCGGGUAAGUUCCGACGCGCAUGAAUAGCGUAAUCACUGGAGCACUGUCUCCACGACCGACGUCGUAUCGUGACUGGGAAACAGAUCGGAAGAGCACACGUCUGA
This 1811-nucleotide ribosomal RNA is filed under the name freshwater metagenome. Its description in RNAcentral is "bacterial LSU rRNA". It matches the Rfam family "Bacterial large subunit ribosomal RNA", at positions 82 to 2044 of the family's 2925-position model. The record is from RNAcentral.